Artibeus jamaicensis (Jamaican fruit-eating bat) is the source of this 188-nucleotide small nuclear RNA. RefSeq annotates it as U2 spliceosomal RNA. The transcript has a single exon. Lineage: Eukaryota; Metazoa; Chordata; Mammalia; Chiroptera; Phyllostomidae. The record is from RefSeq and is a predicted model, not a curated record.
GUGGAUUCUCAGCCUUUUGGCUAAGAUCAACUAUAGUAUCUGUUCUUAUCAGUUUAAUAUCUGGUACAUCCUUUAUUUGAGUACAUUAUCUUAAAUGGAUUUUUGGAGCUGGGAGACUGAAUAGGGGCUCGCUCAGACUACUCCACAAUUGACACAGUUUUGCAGUACUUCCAGGAACAGUACAUACA